RNAcentral lists this ribosomal RNA (1399 nucleotides) under uncultured bacterium. RNAcentral's name for it is "bacterial SSU rRNA". It matches the Rfam family "Bacterial small subunit ribosomal RNA". The record is from RNAcentral.
GAAUUCGCCCUUAGAGUUUGAUCCUGGCUCAGGACGAACGCUGGCGGCGUGCUUAACACAUGCAAGUCGAGCGGGGAUGUUCGGAGUGCUUGCACACUGAACAUUUCAGCGGCGGACGGGUGAGUAACGCGUGAACAAUCUGUCCCAUACAGGGGGAUAACAGAUGGAAACAUCUGCUAAUACCGCAUAAGACCACGAAGCCACAUGGCUAUGGGGUAAAAGGAGCAAUCCGGUAUGGGGUGAGUUCGCGUCCGAUUAGCUGGUUGGUGAGGUAACGGCCCACCAAGGCGACGAUCGGUAGCCGACCUGAGAGGGUGAUCGGCCACACUGGAACUGAGAGACGGUCCAGACUCCUACGGGAGGCAGCAGUGGGGAAUAUUGGGCAAUGGGCGAAAGCCUGACCCAGCAACGCCGCGUGAGGGAAGAAGGUUUUCGGAUUGUAAACCUCUGUCCUCAGGGACGAAGGACGUGACGGUACCUGAGGAGGAAGCCCCGGCUAACUACGUGCCAGCAGCCGCGGUAAUACGUAGGGGGCGAGCGUUGUCCGGAAUGACUGGGCGUAAAGGGCGUGUAGGCGGCUUUUUAAGUCUGGAGUGAAAGCCCCUUUUUCAAGGAGGGGAGUGCUUUGGAGACUGGAGAGCUUGAGUGCGGAAGAGGUAAGUGGAAUUCCCAGUGUAGCGGUGAAAUGCGUAGAGAUUGGGAGGAACACCAGUGGCGAAGGCGACUUACUGGGCCGUAACUGACGCUGAGGCGCGAAAGCGUGGGGAGCGAACAGGAUUAGAUACCCUGGUAGUCCACGCUGUAAACGAUGAAUGCUAGGUGUAGCGGGUAUCGACCCCUGCUGUGCCGGAGUAAACACAAUAAGCAUUCCGCCUGGGGAGUACGGCCGCAAGGUUGAAACUCAAAGGAAUUGACGGGGGCCCGCACAAGCAGCGGAGCAUGUGGUUUAAUUCGAAGCAACGCGAAGAACCUUACCUAGACUUGACAUCUCCUGCAUUACUCUUAAUCGAGGAAGUCCCUUCGGGGCAGCGGAGACAGGUGGUGCAUGGUUGUCGUCAGCUCGUGUCGUGAGAUGUUGGGUUAAGUCCCGCAACGAGCGCAACCCUUAUCUUUAGUAGCCAGCAUUUAAGGUGGGGACUCUAGAGAGACUGCCAGGGAUAACCUGGAGGAAGGUGGGGAUGACGUCAAAUCAUCAUGCCCCUUAUGGGCAGGGCUACACACGUGCUACAAUGGCGUAAACAAAGGGAAGCGAUACUGCGAAGUUGAGCAAAUCCCAAAAAUAACGUCUCAGUUCAGAUUGUAGUCUGCAACUCGACUACAUGAAGCUGGAAUCGCUAGUAAUCGCGAAUCAGAAUGUCGCGGUGAAUACGUUCCCGGGUCUUGCACACACCGCCCGUCA